RNAcentral lists this unclassified non-coding RNA (218 nucleotides) under fungal sp. RNAcentral's name for it is "partial internal transcribed spacer region". The stretch from base 1 to 46 matches the Rfam family "Eukaryotic small subunit ribosomal RNA", at positions 1786 to 1831 of the family's 1831-position model. Lineage: Eukaryota; Fungi. The record is from RNAcentral.
AAGUCGUAACAAGGUUUCCGUAGGUGAACCUGCGGAAGGAUCAUUCAUAAAAAGUGUUAAUGGCACUUGUAUCCAUUACCCACCUUGUGUGCAAUGUCGGGAGAGAGGACUUUUUCUCUCCUUCAUAUACAUACUACUUUUUCAUUAUCAGUCUACAAUCUAUUUUAGAGGAUAAAAACUCGAAAAUACAACUUUCAACAACGGAUCUCUUGGCUCUC